AUACGGAGGGUCCAAGCGUUAUCCGGAUUCAUUGGGUUUAAAGGGUUCGUAGGCGGAUAAAUAAGUCAGUGGUGAAAUCCCGAAGCUCAACAUCGGAACUGCCAUUGAAACUGUUUAUCUUGAAUUUAGUUGAAGUGGGCGGAAUAUGACAUGUAGCGGUGAGAUGCAUAGAUAUGUCAUGGAACACCAAUAGUGAAGACAGCUCACUAAGCUAAUAUUGACGCCGAUGAACGAAAGCAUGGGUAGCGAACAGGAUUAGAAACCCCGGUAGUCC
Molecule: ribosomal RNA, 274 nt
Filed under: uncultured bacterium
Lineage: Bacteria
Description: partial 16S ribosomal RNA
Rfam family: Bacterial small subunit ribosomal RNA
Source: RNAcentral